Phodopus roborovskii (desert hamster) is the source of this 552-nucleotide long non-coding RNA. RefSeq lists it as uncharacterized. The record is from RefSeq and is a predicted model, not a curated record. NCBI's taxonomy places the organism in Eukaryota, Metazoa, Chordata, Mammalia, Rodentia, Cricetidae. The transcript is spliced from 5 exons.
AACUCACAUCGUGGUAGGAGUGUCAUUGAUUUGAAAGUCUGUUUUUUAGGCACUCUUUAUUAAUACUAAUUCAGUUGCUCUUUUUCCAGCAAAACAGAUCUGAUUUGAGGGUGCUCUAGUACGGUCAGAGUGAAUACAGAGCGUUUAAGAUAUCAUCUCUUUUGAUCGUUGUACCUGAUUAUGGCAUUAUCCAAGCAUUAAGUUGUAUGCCUUUGUUCCUGGGAGAAAGUUGAUACUAGCAAGUCCCUAUUCUUCCUGGCUUCUGGACUCAGCUGGAAACUCUGGAUUCUUCUCUCCUUUUUCAUAUAUUAGCCUGAGCCUCUGUCCCCCAAAGAGCUCCAAUCACAUCUUUCAUUCAAGUCUCCAUCUCUCCCAAGGUGGCAGCUCUAGUAUAAGUUGUUCUCUUGGUGGCAUUACUUACACACUUAGAGGGUAAACAUGCUUCAAGAUCACAGAGAUUCUCCAGGGAAGCAUCCUAUAGUCCCUAAUAUCAGUUCAUGCUUGAUGGUGCUUUUAUGCCUCUGGCUCCAAUGAGGGGCUUACAAAUCAGGU